Molecule: ribosomal RNA, 440 nt
Filed under: uncultured bacterium
Lineage: Bacteria
Description: SSU rRNA
Rfam family: Bacterial small subunit ribosomal RNA
Source: RNAcentral
AGAGCGAACGCUGGCGGCAGGCCUAACACAUGCAAGUCGAGCGCCCCGCAAGGGGAGCGGCAGACGGGAGAGUAACACGUGGGAACGUGCCCUUUGGUUCGGAACAACACAGGGAAACUUGUGCUAAUACCGGAUAAGCCCUUACGGGGAAAGAUUUAUCGCCAAAGGAUCGGCCCGCGUCUGAUUAGCUAGUUGGUGAGGUAACGGCUCACCAAGGCUACGAUCAGUAGCUGGUCUGAGAGGAUGAUCAGCCUCACUGGGACUGAGACACGGCCCAGACUCCUACGGGAGGCAGCAGUGGGGAAUAUUGGACAAUGGGCGCAAGCCUGAUCCAGCCAUGCCGCGUGGGUGAUGAAGGCCCUAGGGUUGUAAAGCCCUUUGGCGGGAAGAUAAUGACGGUACCGCAGAAGAAGCCCGGCUAACUUCGUGCCAGCAGCCGC